UAGAAAGUGGUGUAGCGGAAGCACUAGGGGUUUUGAUCUCCUAAGGAGAGGUUCAAAUCCUCUUUUUCUAA
This 71-nucleotide transfer RNA is filed under the name Physiculus japonicus (Japanese codling). RNAcentral describes it as "tRNA-Gln". It matches the Rfam family "tRNA". Rfam says of the family: Transfer RNA (tRNA) molecules are approximately 80 nucleotides in length. Their secondary structure includes four short double-helical elements and three loops (D, anti-codon, and T loops). Further hydrogen bonds mediate the characteristic L-shaped molecular structure. tRNAs have two regions of fundamental functional importance: the anti-codon, which is responsible for specific mRNA codon recognition, and the 3' end, to which the tRNAs corresponding amino acid is attached (by aminoacyl-tRNA synthetases). tRNAs cope with the degeneracy of the genetic code in two manners: having more than one tRNA (with a specific anti-codon) for a particular amino acid; and 'wobble' base-pairing, i.e. permitting non-standard base-pairing at the 3rd anti-codon position. Lineage: Eukaryota; Metazoa; Chordata; Actinopteri; Gadiformes; Moridae. The record is from RNAcentral. RNAcentral also lists the same sequence under 1 other name.